GGCCUCGUAGCUCAGUGGGUAAGAGCGUUGGCUGUGCUAAAGCCUUCCCCUUGCUGGCGUGGGUUCGAAUCCCACGAAGGCUG
Molecule: transfer RNA, 83 nt
Filed under: Schistocephalus solidus
Lineage: Eukaryota; Metazoa; Platyhelminthes; Cestoda; Diphyllobothriidea; Diphyllobothriidae
Rfam family: tRNA
About the family: Transfer RNA (tRNA) molecules are approximately 80 nucleotides in length. Their secondary structure includes four short double-helical elements and three loops (D, anti-codon, and T loops).
Source: Rfam by way of RNAcentral